UACAUGGGGUGCAAACGUUGCUCGGAAUUAUUGGGCGUAAAGCGCACGUAGGCGGUUAUCUAAGUCGGAUGUGAAAGCCCUCGGCUCAACUGAGGAAGUGCAUCCGAAACUGAAUAGCUAGAGUAUGGAAGAGGGUCGCGGAAUUCCCGGUGUAGAGGUGAAAUUCGUAGAUAUCGGGAGGAACACCGGUGGCGAAGGCGGCGACCUGGGCCAAUACUGACGCUGAGGUGCGAAAGCGUGGGGAGCAAACAGG
This 253-nucleotide ribosomal RNA is filed under the name uncultured bacterium. Its description in RNAcentral is "partial 16S ribosomal RNA". It matches the Rfam family "Bacterial small subunit ribosomal RNA", at positions 524 to 776 of the family's 1533-position model. The record is from RNAcentral.